Molecule: transfer RNA, 91 nt
Filed under: Actinoplanes octamycinicus
Lineage: Bacteria; Bacillati; Actinomycetota; Actinomycetes; Micromonosporales; Micromonosporaceae
Description: tRNA-Ala
Source: RNAcentral
CGCCGGCCGUGGCCUGGGCGAGGUGGCCGCCCGUGGCCUGGGCGAGGUCGCCGGCGGUGGCUUGGACGAGAUCGCCGCCCGUGGCUUGGGU